CCUACGGGAGACAGCAGUCGAGAAUCAUUCACAAUGGGGGAAACCCUGAUGGUGCGACGCCGCGUGGGGGAAUGAAGGUCUUCGGAUUGUAAACCCCUGUUAUGUGGGAGCAAAUUAAAAAGAUAGUACCACAAGAGGAAUAGACGGCUAACUCUGUGCCAGCAGCUGCGGUAAUACAGAGGUCUCAAGCGUUGUUCGGAAUCACUGGGCGUAAAGCGUGCGUAGGCUGUUUCGUAAGUCGUGUGUGAAAGGCGCGGGCUCAACCCGCGGACGGCACAUGAUACUGCGAGACUAGAGUAAGGGAGGGGGAACCGGAAUUCUCGGUGUAGCAGUGAAAUGCGUAGAUAGCGAGAGGAACACUCGUGGCGAAGGCGGGUUCCUGGACAUUAACUGACGCUGAGGCACGAAGGCGAGGGGAGCGAAAGGGAUUAGAUACCCGAGUAGUC
RNAcentral lists this ribosomal RNA (446 nucleotides) under uncultured bacterium. RNAcentral's name for it is "partial 16S ribosomal RNA". It matches the Rfam family "Bacterial small subunit ribosomal RNA", at positions 338 to 795 of the family's 1533-position model. The record is from RNAcentral.